RNAcentral lists this ribosomal RNA (2930 nucleotides) under Escherichia coli. RNAcentral's name for it is "23S ribosomal RNA". It matches the Rfam family "Bacterial large subunit ribosomal RNA". Lineage: Bacteria; Pseudomonadati; Pseudomonadota; Gammaproteobacteria; Enterobacterales; Enterobacteriaceae. The record is from RNAcentral.
GGGUUGUGAGGUUAAGCGACUAAGCGUACACGGUGGAUGCCCUGGCAGUCAGAGGCGAUGAAGGACGUGCUAAUCUGCGAUAAGCGUCGGUAAGGUGAUAUGAACCGUUAUAACCGGCGAUUUCCGAAUGGGGAAACCCAGUGUGUUUCGACACACUAUCAUUAACUGAAUCCAUAGGUUAAUGAGGCGAACCGGGGGAACUGAAACAUCUAAGUACCCCGAGGAAAAGAAAUCAACCGAGAUUCCCCCAGUAGCGGCGAGCGAACGGGGAGCAGCCCAGAGCCUGAAUCAGUGUGUGUGUUAGUGGAAGCGUCUGGAAAGGCGCGCGAUACAGGGUGACAGCCCCGUACACAAAAAUGCACAUAUUGUGAGCUCGAUGAGUAGGGCGGGACACGUGGUAUCCUGUCUGAAUAUGGGGGGACCAUCCUCCAAGGCUAAAUACUCCUGACUGACCGAUAGUGAACCAGUACCGUGAGGGAAAGGCGAAAAGAACCCCGGCGAGGGGAGUGAAAAAGAACCUGAAACCGUGUACGUACAAGCAGUGGGAGCACGCUUAGGCGUGUGACUGCGUACCUUUUGUAUAAUGGGUCAGCGACUUAUAUUCUGUAGCAAGGUUAACCGAAUAGGGGAGCCGAAGGGAAACCGAGUCUUAACUGGGCGUUAAGUUGCAGGGUAUAGACCCGAAACCCGGUGAUCUAGCCAUGGGCAGGUUGAAGGUUGGGUAACACUAACUGGAGGACCGAACCGACUAAUGUUGAAAAAUUAGCGGAUGACUUGUGGCUGGGGGUGAAAGGCCAAUCAAACCGGGAGAUAGCUGGUUCUCCCCGAAAGCUAUUUAGGUAGCGCCUCGUGAAUUCAUCUCCGGGGGUAGAGCACUGUUUCGGCAAGGGGGUCAUCCCGACUUACCAACCCGAUGCAAACUGCGAAUACCGGAGAAUGUUAUCACGGGAGACACACGGCGGGUGCUAACGUCCGUCGUGAAGAGGGAAACAACCCAGACCGCCAGCUAAGGUCCCAAAGUCAUGGUUAAGUGGGAAACGAUGUGGGAAGGCCCAGACAGCCAGGAUGUUGGCUUAGAAGCAGCCAUCAUUUAAAGAAAGCGUAAUAGCUCACUGGUCGAGUCGGCCUGCGCGGAAGAUGUAACGGGGCUAAACCAUGCACCGAAGCUGCGGCAGCGACGCUUAUGCGUUGUUGGGUAGGGGAGCGUUCUGUAAGCCUGCGAAGGUGUGCUGUGAGGCAUGCUGGAGGUAUCAGAAGUGCGAAUGCUGACAUAAGUAACGAUAAAGCGGGUGAAAAGCCCGCUCGCCGGAAGACCAAGGGUUCCUGUCCAACGUUAAUCGGGGCAGGGUGAGUCGACCCCUAAGGCGAGGCCGAAAGGCGUAGUCGAUGGGAAACAGGUUAAUAUUCCUGUACUUGGUGUUACUGCGAAGGGGGGACGGAGAAGGCUAUGUUGGCCGGGCGACGGUUGUCCCGGUUUAAGCGUGUAGGCUGGUUUUCCAGGCAAAUCCGGAAAAUCAAGGCUGAGGCGUGAUGACGAGGCACUACGGUGCUGAAGCAACAAAUGCCCUGCUUCCAGGAAAAGCCUCUAAGCAUCAGGUAACAUCAAAUCGUACCCCAAACCGACACAGGUGGUCAGGUAGAGAAUACCAAGGCGCUUGAGAGAACUCGGGUGAAGGAACUAGGCAAAAUGGUGCCGUAACUUCGGGAGAAGGCACGCUGAUAUGUAGGUGAAGCGACUUGCUCGUGGAGCUGAAAUCAGUCGAAGAUACCAGCUGGCUGCAACUGUUUAUUAAAAACACAGCACUGUGCAAACACGAAAGUGGACGUAUACGGUGUGACGCCUGCCCGGUGCCGGAAGGUUAAUUGAUGGGGUCAGCGCAAGCGAAGCUCUUGAUCGAAGCCCCGGUAAACGGCGGCCGUAACUAUAACGGUCCUAAGGUAGCGAAAUUCCUUGUCGGGUAAGUUCCGACCUGCACGAAUGGCGUAAUGAUGGCCAGGCUGUCUCCACCCGAGACUCAGUGAAAUUGAACUCGCUGUGAAGAUGCAGUGUACCCGCGGCAAGACGGAAAGACCCCGUGAACCUUUACUAUAGCUUGACACUGAACAUUGAGCCUUGAUGUGUAGGAUAGGUGGGAGGCUUUGAAGUGUGGACGCCAGUCUGCAUGGAGCCGACCUUGAAAUACCACCCUUUAAUGUUUGAUGUUCUAACGUUGACCCGUAAUCCGGGUUGCGGACAGUGUCUGGUGGGUAGUUUGACUGGGGCGGUCUCCUCCUAAAGAGUAACGGAGGAGCACGAAGGUUGGCUAAUCCUGGUCGGACAUCAGGAGGUUAGUGCAAUGGCAUAAGCCAGCUUGACUGCGAGCGUGACGGCGCGAGCAGGUGCGAAAGCAGGUCAUAGUGAUCCGGUGGUUCUGAAUGGAAGGGCCAUCGCUCAACGGAUAAAAGGUACUCCGGGGAUAACAGGCUGAUACCGCCCAAGAGUUCAUAUCGACGGCGGUGUUUGGCACCUCGAUGUCGGCUCAUCACAUCCUGGGGCUGAAGUAGGUCCCAAGGGUAUGGCUGUUCGCCAUUUAAAGUGGUACGCGAGCUGGGUUUAGAACGUCGUGAGACAGUUCGGUCCCUAUCUGCCGUGGGCGCUGGAGAACUGAGGGGGGCUGCUCCUAGUACGAGAGGACCGGAGUGGACGCAUCACUGGUGUUCGGGUUGUCAUGCCAAUGGCACUGCCCGGUAGCUAAAUGCGGAAGAGAUAAGUGCUGAAAGCAUCUAAGCACGAAACUUGCCCCGAGAUGAGUUCUCCCUGACUCCUUGAGAGUCCUGAAGGAACGUUGAAGACGACGACGUUGAUAGGCCGGGUGUGUAAGCGCAGCGAUGCGUUGAGCUAACCGGUACUAAUGAACCGUGAGGCUUAACCUUACAACGCCGAAGCUGUU